Molecule: ribosomal RNA, 253 nt
Filed under: uncultured bacterium
Lineage: Bacteria
Description: partial 16S ribosomal RNA
Rfam family: Bacterial small subunit ribosomal RNA
Source: RNAcentral
UACAGAGGUGGCAAGCGUUGUUCGGAAUUACUGGGCGUAAAGCGCACGUAGGCGGAUUGUUAAGUCGGGGGUGAAAUCCCGGGGCUCAACCCCGGAACUGCCUUCGAUACUGGCGAUCUUGAGGUCGGGGGAGGUGAGUGGAAUGGCGAGUGUAGAGGUGAAAUUCGUAGAUAUUCGCCGGAACACCAGUGGCGAAGGCGGCUCACUGGCCCGAUACUGACGCUGAGGUGCGAAAGCGUGGGGAGCAAACAGG